RNAcentral lists this ribosomal RNA (611 nucleotides) under Cortinarius sp. YM566. RNAcentral's name for it is "eukaryotic LSU rRNA". The stretch from base 226 to 379 matches the Rfam family "5.8S ribosomal RNA". Lineage: Eukaryota; Fungi; Basidiomycota; Agaricomycetes; Agaricales; Cortinariaceae. The record is from RNAcentral.
GUUGCUGCUGGUUCUCUAGGGAGCAUGUGCACACUUGUCGUCUUUAUAUUUCCACCUUGUGCACCUUUUGUAGACCUGGAUAUCUCUCUGAAUGCACACAAGCAUUUGGGUUUGAGGGGUUGACUUUUUGGUCUCCCUUUAUAUUUCCAGGCCUAUGUUUCUUUCAUAUACCCCACUUGUGUUAUAGAAUGUAAUAAAUGGGCCUUUGUGCCUGUAAAGCUAUACAACUUUCAGCAACGGAUCUCUUGGCUCUCGCAUCGAUGAAGAACGCAGCGAAAUGCGAUAAGUAAUGUGAAUUGCAGAAUUCAGUGAAUCAUCGAAUCUUUGAACGCACCUUGCGCUCCUUGGUAUUCCGAGGAGCAUGCCUGUUUGAGUGUCAUUAAUAUAUCAACCUCCUCAACUUGUGUUGAGUGUUGGAUGUGGGGGUUCUUUCUUUGCUGGCUUCACGGUCAGCUCCCCUGAAAUGCAUUAGCGGAACAACCUGUUCACUGUUCAUUGGCGUGAUAACUAUCUACGCUGCUUGUUGACAGUGAAGCAAGUUCAGCUUCUAACAGUCCAUUAAAUUGGACAAAUUUUUAUUAAUGUGACCUCAAAUCAGGUAGGACUACCCG